UACGUAGGGUGCGAGCGUUGUCCGGAAUUAUUGGGCGUAAAGAGCUUGUAGGCGGUUUGUCGCGUCUGCUGUGAAAUCUCAAGGCUCAACCUUGAGCUUGCAGUGGGUACGGGCAGACUAGAGUGUGGUAGGGGAGACUGGAAUUCCUGGUGUAGCGGUGAAAUGCGCAGGAUAUCAGGAGGAACACCGGUGGCGAAGGCGGGUUAC
Molecule: ribosomal RNA, 207 nt
Filed under: uncultured bacterium
Lineage: Bacteria
Description: partial 16S ribosomal RNA
Rfam family: Bacterial small subunit ribosomal RNA
Source: RNAcentral